This 562-nucleotide ribosomal RNA is filed under the name Pannychia cf. moseleyi AKM-2016. RNAcentral describes it as "partial 16S ribosomal RNA". It matches the Rfam family "Bacterial large subunit ribosomal RNA", at positions 1795 to 2620 of the family's 2925-position model. The record is from RNAcentral. Lineage: Eukaryota; Metazoa; Echinodermata; Holothuroidea; Elasipodida; Laetmogonidae.
GUCGCCUGUUUAUCAAAAACAUAGCUUCUUGAAUUUAUAAGAAGUCCUGCCUGCCCAGUGGUUUAUCUAAACGGCCGCGGUAUUUUGACCGUGCAAAGGUAGCAUAAUAAUUUGUCCUUUAAAUGUGGACUAGUAUGAAUGGCGUUACAUUUUCUAACUGUCUCUCUAUAUUUUCUUCUAAAUUUCUACCCCCGUGAAGAAGCGGGGAUGAAAAAGUAAGACGAGAAGACCCUGUCGAGCUUAAGCUUAAUAAAAUAUAUUAAUUUCAACAGAAGUUUCUGCUCUUAAAAUUUUAUAAGGCUUUGGUUGGGGCAACCAUGGAGAACAAAAACCCUCCAGACUUAUAGUAGAGCUCUACUCUCUAACUUUCCUAAGGAACCAAUUUUUUUGGAAAUCGGAAAAAGUUACCGCAGGGAUAACAGCGUAAUCUUCUUUGAGAGCUCCUAUUGACAAGAAGGUUUGCGACCUCGAUGUUGGAUUGGGGCACCCAAAAAGUGCAGCCGCUUUUAAAGGUUGGACUGUUCGUCCAUUAAAGCCCUACGUGAUCUGAGUUCAGACCRGA